UUAUAUACCGCUUUACGGUGCUUUACAGUCCUCUCUAAGUGUCACAGAGUCAGCUUCUUGCCCCCAACAAUUUGGGUCCUCAUUUUACCCACCUCGGAAGGAUGGAAGAGGCUGAGUCAACCUUAAGCCUGGCGAGAUUCGACCUGCCAAAUAUCA
This is a non-coding RNA of Notechis scutatus (mainland tiger snake), 156 nucleotides long. Lineage: Eukaryota; Metazoa; Chordata; Lepidosauria; Squamata; Elapidae. The record is from RefSeq and is a predicted model, not a curated record.